RNAcentral lists this long non-coding RNA (261 nucleotides) under Marmota monax (woodchuck). The record is from RNAcentral. Lineage: Eukaryota; Metazoa; Chordata; Mammalia; Rodentia; Sciuridae.
CCCUGAAAACAACCUAUAAACAGCACCCAGUCCUGUGUUUGGCAUUGAUGCUGUUUCCAUCAGUCCAACCAGUGUGUUCCUAACCUGGAAAAACAAUGACUCAGCUGCUUCUGAGUACACGUAUGCAGUAAAGAAUGAGAGGGACAACAAGUGGAGGAUGAUUGUUACAAAUGAAACAGAAUAUACCAUCACAGGCUUAAGUCCCGGAACUUCAUAUGAAUUCUCCAUCACACCAGGAAUAGCCAAACUCUGCACCCCUUC